GGCUCCAUGAGGGCCAAGCAUGCUUCCUGUGGAGACUGAUCCUCUCAGGAUGGUGCUCAAGAUGUGCAAGGUCUGGAAGAGAGCGAGAAGCUUGUCCCAGCUCAGGGCUGCCAGACACUUCCCAAAAGCAUCUGGUUUCCCAAAGUGAAAGGAAAGAAUGCUCUGAACUCUAGGAAACUGAGACAUCAAGGAACCACUGCACCCCACAGUCGGCCUACUAGGAGAGAUGGCUAAGGCCCAGCACCAGGCAUGGCGCAGAGUACGAGCAUCCGAUCUGAGGACCACUCGACGGACCACUCAGGCAUGCUUCCCACUGGAUGAGCAUCUGGGACUUCCGGGCAGUCACACAGGAAGGCCUUAUCAAGUGACCGCCAUGGCAGGAAAUAGAAGGUGAGACAACCAGGAGGCAGAAAGGAUUCUGGGAAAGAGCGAGGCACAGGAAGAUCCGC
Molecule: long non-coding RNA, 449 nt
Organism: Grammomys surdaster
Lineage: Eukaryota; Metazoa; Chordata; Mammalia; Rodentia; Muridae
Exons: 3
Source: RefSeq, a predicted model, not a curated record